GAUGAAGAACGUAGCGAAAUGCGAUAAGUAAUGUGAAUUGCAGAAUUCAGUGAAUCAUCGAAUCUUUGAACGCACCUUGCGCCCUUUGGACAUUCCGAAGGGCAUGCCUGUUUGAGUAUCAUGAACACCUCACCUCUCACGGCUUGUCCGUGAUGAGCUUGGACUUUGGGGGUCUUGCCGGCCUGUGGUCGGCUCCUCUCACAUGGAUCAGCUUGCCAGUGUUUGGUGGCAUCACAGGUGUGAUAACUAUCUGCGCUUGUGGUUUUCCAUCAGAUAACCUUCAGUGAUAUGGAGGUUCGCUGGAGCUCACAAAUGUCUCUCCUUAGUGAGGACAGCUCUUUGAACGUUUGAUCUCAAAUCAGGUAGGACUACCCGCUGAACUUAAGCAUAUCAAUAAGCGGAGGA
This 405-nucleotide unclassified non-coding RNA is filed under the name soil metagenome. RNAcentral describes it as "partial contains 5.8S ribosomal RNA, internal transcribed spacer 2, and large subunit ribosomal RNA". The stretch from base 1 to 121 matches the Rfam family "5.8S ribosomal RNA", at positions 35 to 154 of the family's 154-position model. The record is from RNAcentral.